AUUGAACGCUGGCGGCAUGCCUUACACAUGCAAGUCGAACGGCAUCGCGGGAAAGCUUGCUUUCCUGGCGGCGAGUGGCGAACGGGUGAGUAACACAUCGGAACGUACCGGCUAGUGGGGGAUAACCCGUCGAAAGACGGGCUAAUACCGCAUACGCUCUUCGGAGGAAAGCAGGGGGCCUUUGGGCCUUGCGCUAGUCGAGCGGCCGAUGUCCGAUUAGCUAGUUGGUGGGGUAAAGGCCUACCAAGGCGACGAUCGGUAGCGGGUCUGAGAGGACGAUCCGCCACACUGGGACUGAGACACGGCCCAGACUCCUACGGGAGGCAGCAGUGGGGAAUCUUGGACAAUGGGGGCAACCCUGAUCCAGCAAUGCCGCGUGGGUGAAGAAGGCCUUCGGGUUGUAAAGCCCUUUCGGCAGGGAAGAAAUCGGCGGGGCGAAUAACCCUGCUGGAUGACGGUACCUGCAGAAGAAGCACCGGCUAACUACGUG
This 490-nucleotide ribosomal RNA is filed under the name uncultured bacterium. Its description in RNAcentral is "partial 16S ribosomal RNA". It matches the Rfam family "Bacterial small subunit ribosomal RNA", at positions 29 to 507 of the family's 1533-position model. The record is from RNAcentral.